Molecule: ribosomal RNA, 516 nt
Filed under: Debaryomyces hansenii
Lineage: Eukaryota; Fungi; Ascomycota; Pichiomycetes; Serinales; Debaryomycetaceae
Description: LSU rRNA
Rfam family: Eukaryotic large subunit ribosomal RNA
Source: RNAcentral
CGAGUGAAGCGGCAAAAGCUCAAAUUUGAAAUCUGGCACCUUCGGUGUCCGAGUUGUAAUUUGAAGAAGGUAACUUUGGAGUUGGCUCUUGUCUAUGUUCCUUGGAACAGGACGUCACAGAGGGUGAGAAUCCCGUGCGAUGAGAUGCCCAAUUCUAUGUAAAGUGCUUUCGAAGAGUCGAGUUGUUUGGGAAUGCAGCUCUAAGUGGGUGGUAAAUUCCAUCUAAAGCUAAAUAUUGGCGAGAGACCGAUAGCGAACAAGUACAGUGAUGGAAAGAUGAAAAGAACUUUGAAAAGAGAGUGAAAAAGUACGUGAAAUUGUUGAAAGGGAAGGGCUUGAGAUCAGACUUGGUAUUUUGCGAUCCUUUCCUUCUUGGUUGGGUUCCUCGCAGCUUACUGGGCCAGCAUCGGUUUGGACGGUAGGAUAAUGACUAAGGAAUGUGGCUCUACUUCGGUGGAGUGUUAUAGCCUUGGUUGAUACUGCCUGUCUAGACCGAGGACUGCGUCUUUGACUAGG